CAAUUGUUCUGAUGUUGCUCCUUAAAAAUCACACAGUUUUAAAAUUGAAUUACAAAAUUAAAUAUUAAUAUGAUUACAUGAACUCUUUCUUAGUUAUUUCUAUAUUGCUCCUUGUGCCGUAAGGUGUUGGGUUAAGUCCCGCAACGAACGCAAUCCUCAUGUUUAGUUGCCAACAUUUAGUUUGGAAUCCUAAACAGACUACCGGUGAUAAGUCGGAGGAAGGUGAGGAUAACGUCAAGUCAUCAUACCCCUUAUGUCCUGGGCGACACACGUGUUACAGUGGACGGGACAAAGGAUCACGAUCCCUCAAGGAUGAACUAACUUAAAAAACCCGUCCUCGGUUCAAAUUGUAGGACAGAAAACAACUGAAAAAAA
Molecule: non-coding RNA, 375 nt
Organism: Glycine soja
Lineage: Eukaryota; Viridiplantae; Streptophyta; Magnoliopsida; Fabales; Fabaceae
Source: Rfam